AGAGACAGCAGCCGCCGCGGUAAUACAGAGGAUGCAAGCGUUAUCCGGAAUGAUUGGGCGUAAAGCGUCUGUAGGUGGCUUUUCAAGUCCGCCGUCAAGUCCCAGGGCUCAACCCUAGACAGGCGGUGGAAACUACGAAGCUGGAGUACGGUAGGGGCAGAGGGAAUUUCCGGUGGUGCGGUGAAAUGCGUUGAGAUCGGAAAGAACACCAACGGCGAAAGCACUCUGCUGGGCCGACACUGACACUGAGAGACGAAAGCUAGGGGAGCAAAUGGGAUUAGAUACCCGCGUAGUCCCUGUCUCUUAUAA
This 309-nucleotide ribosomal RNA is filed under the name uncultured bacterium. RNAcentral describes it as "partial 16S ribosomal RNA". It matches the Rfam family "Bacterial small subunit ribosomal RNA", at positions 504 to 809 of the family's 1533-position model. The record is from RNAcentral.